GAAUAACAGCGGCUAGUGUUUGCUUAAGAAUAAUGGUCAUGAACAUAAUAUCCCAUGAUUAAUUCAUGCGGUCCAGGGACUCGUAAACAUCCCCGAUACGAGAUCCGUCAUGACAGGCUCCUUAUCACGUCUAGGCGUCGCAUUCCCACGACCUGGGCAUCUCGGGGCGUUAUGCCCAUGGCAUCAAGAUGUUGUGGUACUUGGCAUCUAGUAAGUGACACUCACUAUAUAUAGCAAAGCAAAAUGGGGCUUUCUAUCUACACGCCUCAUAUCCGGUAUAUAAGAAUCGAUAGCAAUGCUCUCAGUGUUACACUUACAGCAUGAGGAAUAAGUAGUGCCUAUCUGGAGUCCACUGGGGACGCGUGUGUUUCGCUUUAUUGCUAUCGCUUGGAACUUGAAAGAAUAGUGCGUUUUAUCUUUAGGGUCGAACUCGAGGAUGAUUAAAUAGUUUCCCCUCUUUCUCGAGUCAUUUUCAGUGGCACAUCCCACAUCCACUUCGCAGGACUUCGUUAUCUUAGUUGAAACUUGUGUGAGCGAUGUGCGAGAUGGUGCCGUGACGCUCGUUGUGAUUCUGGGACGCCUCUUAGUGGCCGAAUCGAAAGCCAUGAGCAGUGAAAACGACACGAGCGCCGACAGCAGCGAUGUGUAUCUCACGAAGGUCAUCCUCGGCGUGUACUUCACGAGCAGCGUGUUCACUUUCAUCGAGUGUCUGUUCGCCGUGUACAUAAGCAGGACGAACGCCUCCUUGAAGAGAAGACCUUCGAAAUACUUCUCAUACAACCUAGUGUUAAGCGUCGGACUUCUGGCGGGGAUAUCGCUCGUUUAUGGCGCCUGUCUGUUAUUCAUUCCCGAUUCCAGCCACAUAUCCACAGCAGGAUGCUUCAUCAGGGUCGUGCAGCGGUGCCUCAGCGCCGUGUCGUGCCUCACGCUCACGUGCCUGGCCCUGGACAGGUACGUGUCCAUCUGCUGGCCCUUGCGGUACUACCAGAUCAUCACGGAAGUGAGAACGUUAAUCUUAAGUGUCGGGUGUUGGUUAGCUGGAUUCCUACUGCCGAUGCUGCCUUGCGCUACACAACUGCCGACGUUCUGUCUCAGCGGCGCAUCAAACUUCAUUUUUCUAGCGUCCUACGCCGCCGUGUACAACCUAGGGGCCUUCAGCAUGCUGGUUUUCUAUCUCCUGGUAAACCGCGAGUUUCGGCAGUACCCUUCUAAUCAGAGGCACGAGAACAGCGCCCUGGCACAAACGGAACAACUGGUGCGGUUGAAAACGGCCAGAUCGACCGUCAGAGUCUUGCUCCUUUACAGCCUGCUCUCUCUGCCCCACAUGAUUCUGCCGCUGGUGAACCGCAUGUUGGGAUGGUCGGGCGUGUGGUUUUCGGUCGUGUACCACCUGUGCCAUCUCCUGCACCGCCUGCACCUUCUGCUGUUCCUCCCGAUGUACAUGUGGGCCAACAGCGACUCCCACGAGGCGCUCCUGGCCUCCUUCAGGACGAUCUGCCAGAGGCUCCCCUGCUGCUGUAAGGAGGAGAACGUCUGCUCCACCUGUCUCUGCGGCUUCUUCGGAUUCCUCUACGAGUUUUUUUGUUGCCCUUCCGAGCGGAAUUCUCGCCGUCUGCCCCUGGAGGAGGAGCUAAGUCAAGUAAGGGUUCAGAAAACUAAGUUGAAGGUAUUGAUGGCUUGACUGGUUAUAAACACAAGCGUCACGCCAGCAGAGGCUGCAGGCGACGAAAACAGAAAGAAAGCGCUUCCGUACUAUCGGCUGUGACAGUGACCAGAGCUGACUAAAAACAAACUGCGUAAUGUUUCAAAUUACGAAGGAAGAUGACAAGAUCUACAUUCGUGGAAAUUGAUGACUGAGCACCAUGGAGACGAAAUCAGUCUGUAGAGACAGUCCAUGAACAAAGAAGGCCUCUACCUGAUGACAAAUUGAACAGGCUUUCGGCGGACAAAUAGGCAGAAGAAGACAUCAACUCCUUAUCCGUUAAGGACAAGCACCGCUGUGAUUAUCCAAAUAAAUAAUAUAUUGAUUACUGUGUAAUGACGCAAUUAUUGUUGUGAAAUGUGUAAAAGAUUUAUUAAAGUAAAUCUCAUACA
Molecule: RNA transcript, 2094 nt
Organism: Macrobrachium nipponense
Lineage: Eukaryota; Metazoa; Arthropoda; Malacostraca; Decapoda; Palaemonidae
Gene name: adenosine receptor A3-like
Exons: 4
Source: RefSeq, a predicted model, not a curated record